UGGUCCGCUGCGCCGGCACUCAGCAAGGGAGGCUCCAGCAAGACCACAUCGGCAGCCGUUGUCGCUCAGGUAAAAAAUCCAUCGGUGCUUGAUGCAUCUGUACAAAUGUUUGUGUGAGCUUGUUGCUACUACGCUACUAAUAGCAAGCCUGAAUGACAUUGUUGGUAGUAAUUAGCAGCUGGGCAUGCUCCAAUUGUCGGGCUGGGUACGCUGAAGUGCAUUUUCUAAUUAAACCACAGGUCAGGCAUCUAUAUAUGAUGCUAUGCAUCCUUACAUAUGCACUUUGGUAGAACUUGGCAGCAUAUAACAACUUCAUAGAUAAAAAAAUUAAACUGACAACAAGUAUCCACUUAGUACAUGGAAUUCAAUGUCAUAAAAAGGACUGCUCGGUUCAAAUGGCAUAACAGUUUAAUCUGAGUUUACAUCAAGCAAAUUAACAAUAAUUCUGAGUUCGUAUCUCAGAAAUUACAUCUUCUUCCCGGCAAAAUUUUUUUACAUCUUCUUCCUCCUUGGGGUCAUUUUUUUCUUGCAUGCCGUAGAGCUUGAAGGGAUGUAAGAAGUAGGUGAUGGUACAGAAACAUUCGUUGUUCCAGAUGGUUGUGAUGCAUCGCCUUCGGCUAUGGCCAUAGCAAGUCUCCUGCAUGUUUACACAUCAGUUACGAAAGCAGGAUUUCUUUUGCAUGAAUCAAAUGUGCAUAUGGAAAAUAUAAACAGUUACCUCCUUGUAAUAGGCCCAGGGCUGUUAUGAAGGCUGGGAGGCACUGUGAUUGUUGUUGUGCGUGUGGGUGUCGCAACAACAGCUGGAGCGAGCUCGUGAGCAGACACGUCGCUAGAAAGUUCAAUCACACAUGACAUUAGAAAUGGUAUACUAAUACUAAUUUCAUACUAAUGUAGAUGAUAUAUAGUAGUAGUAGUAGUACUAGUACAUGGGUUACCUUUUAUUUAGCUUCCUUCUUUUUACAAGUUGCUUUUCUGUGCCCCAAGAUUCCACAUUGUUUGCACCUGUUUUUGGUGCCAAAUCUCUUCUUUUCUUUUUCCUUCUGUUUGGCACCACCUUCUUGCUCAUUUCGUUUGCCAUCAUCAUCUUUUUUCUUCCGUUUGCCACCACCACCGUCUUCAAGGAAACUUUUGAUGCUCUGCUUCCUCCUUCUCCCAACAGAGCUUUUUAAAUCUGGUGGUAUCAUCUCAAAAUCUAGAGUAACUUGAGGCCAUUGAGACUUGUCUGUGAUUGGUUCAAUCUCUCCUGCAUAGGCAGCCCGGAACCUACUCACAGAGUAGUAGUCAUGCACAUAUGGUUGAAAGUUCACAUCUGCUCUCUCUAUAAGAAAUGCAAGUGCAUGCUCACAGGGCUUUUCAAUGUGCUUCCAUUCUAGGCAAGUGCACUCAUAGGUACGUAUUUUGACAACGUGGCUAAGAUUCUUCUUGCUGGUGUCCUUGACCUCACAACUUUCUUCGGUUGAUCUUCCAACAACCAAAUGGUCAAGUUGUCUAGUUCUAUUAUUUAUUUGUUGAAUGAUGGCAGGCAGCGUCUCUCCCUGGAGCAUUUCCCCAAUCCUUCUCCUCCUCUCAACAAGUAUCAUAAUUUUCUCUCUUAUUUUGUCUGCUAGCUCAUCCAUGGGCAGAUCCUUUGUUCCUUUGAUCCAGCUAUUGAAGCACUCAGCUAGAUUAUUGUGAAUGUAAUCACAUUUUAUUUCUGUGUUGAAGUCGCAUCUCAUCCACUUCAAAUUAUGAUAAGUACACAAGUAGGUACUCACUGUAGGUUCAGCUUCGAAAAUCUUGCCCAUAUGGUAGUUAAAUUUUUCUAGACGGUAAGCCUUGGCUGCUGGCCACAUGCGACCAAAAACAUCUCCAUGAAACUUCUUUUGAAGUUUGCCAUUAGAUGCCUAAAGCAUUCCCUUUGCUCAGCUUGAGGAAAAACAAUUUUAACCGCACUCUCUAACUCUUUGCAUGCAUCAGUACAAAUAGCUAGAGUUUGAAGAUGUCCUAUUGCCUUAUGUAGUUGUUGCAUAAACCAAACCCAGUUCUCCUCAGUCUCCGUACCAAAGAAACCAAAUGCUAAAGGAAACAUCCAGUUUUGUCCGUCUAGUGUUGUACAUGCCACCAAUUGACCAUUCCACUUUCCAGUCAAAUGUGUGGAGUCUAUACUGAGAUAUGGUCUACAACCAGCUAAAAGCCAUCAAUGCUUGGCUUAAGUGCCAUAAAAAAUCUCCGGAAAUACACUCCACCUUUUCCCCUCUUGACAUCAACCUCAACAAUGCUACCCGGAGAUCUCUUAUCAAUCUCAGCUUUGAAGUUGAAUAAAUUCUGAAAGCUUUUUCCCCAUGUUCCAUAUAACAUUUUUGCGGCCCUUUCUUUUCCCUUUUGAACAAUAUCAUACCCAAUAGUACAUUUGUACUCUGCUUGUAGCUUUUUUAGGAGCUCCAUGCCACCAAUUUUUGGUUCACUUUGAAGAUACCCAAUUGCCUUUUCUGCCACCCAUGCUUGGUCUGCCAUGCUUGUAAUCACUUUGGCGGUUGAUGAACACUUAUGAGGCUUUACUAUCUUGUUAACCUGCACAAUAGCAACCAUUAGGUGCAAGUAAUUUUUAAAAAUUGUUUCAACAUAAAAAAUGAUUAGUGUUAGAUAAGUUUGUACCCUGACUGUUUUUCCAUCUUCUAUCGUUCUAGCAAUUAUAUACGCCAAGGACAUACAUUUCCUUUACAGUGACCCACAUAUCUAGUAGUGUCACUAUCCUUGGUCUUAAUGUCAAACUUACCUCUAAUAGCAAAUAUUCUCAUAAGCAUCCUAAACUCUUUCAUCGAACGAAACAAAGAACCUUCCUCUAUCACAGGAUGUUCCUUAUCAUACCAAAAGUGAUCAUCUUCAGGCAUAUGGUCAGGCACUGGAAGAGCCGCAUCAGCAAGUAAGUCCUCAUUAAUAUCAGCUACACAUGCAUCAACAUUUGCAAUCGAGGCUUUGAUGGCUGCUUCAGAUACACAUUUUCGUUGCACAGGUCCAUCGUUGAUUCCAAGCACCGAGCACAUAUUCUCUUCUGUUAUAGGAACAUCAAUUUCGUCAUCAUUCAUUGGUGCUAUCUCUAUCUGAGACCAGUCAAUGCCUCCUUCUGUUGUUGAUACAUAUGUAUCAUUGCUAGCAACCGUCGUUCGCCUACUUGGAGAAGAAAUAAGCAUUUUAACACAAGGACAUCAUACAAUUACUUACAAAAUAUUACAUCAAAAAAUAAAAACUAUGCUAGAUCUGAAGUAUUUUUUCAGGCUUCAUCUGAGUUUACUGUACUUUCUAUGCAGGUUCAUCAACGCCAUAUGGGAGGGAGGGUCUGAGGCGGAAGGGAGGACCAAAUGCUUACCAAUCUGGAGCCUCUUGUGGCGAUCCAUGGAUACAGGAGUUGCCUCGUCUGGCACUAUGUGGAAUCACCUUGCCGGCUGCUGGUGUGAACCCUCGCUGCCCAGGGGUCGCCGGAGUUGAUGGCUUGGUGGCCGUUGUGGCCGCCGGAGUUGACGGCUUGGUGGCCGGCUGUCCCGGGGGCGCCGGAGUUGACGGCUUGGUGUCCGGCUGUCCAGGGGCCGCCGGAGUUGACGGCUUGGUGGCCGGCGGUGCAUCCGCCUGUCCGCUGGGCAUGAACAUGAUGAUGCAACGUAAUAGAAUCAAUCUACGAUUUCUUGAUCAGUUGGUUCUGUUGUGUAUACCAACGUAAAGAGGGAAGGAGACUAGGAAAUAAUUGCAAUUUGCCACAAGGGCAGUCGGGUCAUUUCGCAUGGUGAUAAUUGGGAUAAAAACUGAGAAAUGAUUACAAUAAUUAAAAAGGGCAUAUU
Molecule: long non-coding RNA, 3812 nt
Filed under: Triticum aestivum (bread wheat)
Lineage: Eukaryota; Viridiplantae; Streptophyta; Magnoliopsida; Poales; Poaceae
Description: long non-coding RNA (TAES_LNC009674)
Source: RNAcentral